Molecule: transfer RNA, 72 nt
Filed under: Canis lupus familiaris (dog)
Lineage: Eukaryota; Metazoa; Chordata; Mammalia; Carnivora; Canidae
Also listed under: 1 other name
Rfam family: tRNA
About the family: Transfer RNA (tRNA) molecules are approximately 80 nucleotides in length. Their secondary structure includes four short double-helical elements and three loops (D, anti-codon, and T loops). Further hydrogen bonds mediate the characteristic L-shaped molecular structure. tRNAs have two regions of fundamental functional importance: the anti-codon, which is responsible for specific mRNA codon recognition, and the 3' end, to which the tRNAs corresponding amino acid is attached (by aminoacyl-tRNA synthetases). tRNAs cope with the degeneracy of the genetic code in two manners: having more than one tRNA (with a specific anti-codon) for a particular amino acid; and 'wobble' base-pairing, i.e. permitting non-standard base-pairing at the 3rd anti-codon position.
Source: Rfam by way of RNAcentral
GCCUGGCUGGCUCAGUUGGUGGAGCAUGUGACUCUUAAUCUUGGGGUUUGAGUUCAAGUCCCGUGUUGGGUA